ACCAUAAUAAUGCUAAGUAAGCUUACUAAAAUUCAAAAAAACCUCACAAAAAUUUCAAACAAAUAAUAAGAAUUCUUAAAGAAAUAUUAGAAGGAUCACAAAUAUCACUCAAAUAUAUUUCAAAACAAUCUUAAUUUAAUUCUAAUUAAAAUCCUAUAGAACUUCAUUCAAACUUUAAACCAAAACUAAUUGAAUCUUAAAUCCUAAUAAAAUCCUAAAUCAAACCCUAAUCAAAUCCUAAAUCCAAACUCUAAACCCUAAAUCCUAAACCUUAAACCAAACUCCAAACCCUAAACCAAAUCCUAACUAAAUCCUAAAUCCUAAAUCAAAUCCUAAUAAAAUCCUAAAUCCUAAAUUAAAUCCUAAUCAAACCUUAAACUCUAAAUCAAAUCCUAAUCCAAAUCCUAAAUUCUAAACCAAAUCCUAACCAAAUCCUAAACCAAAU
RNAcentral lists this long non-coding RNA (445 nucleotides) under Physcomitrium patens. RNAcentral's name for it is "long non-coding RNA (PPAT_LNC000891)". The record is from RNAcentral. Lineage: Eukaryota; Viridiplantae; Streptophyta; Bryopsida; Funariales; Funariaceae.